GACGAACGCUGGCGGCGUGCCUAAUACAUGCAAGUAGAACGCUGAAGAGAGGAGCUUACUCUUCUUGGAUGAGUUGCGAACGGGUGAGUAACGCGUAGGUAACCUGCCUUGUAGCGGGGGAUAACUAUUGGAAACGAUAGCUAAUACCGCAUAACAAUGGAUGACACAUGUCAUUUAUUUGAAAGGGGCAAUUGCUCCACUACAAGAUGGACCUGCGUUGUAUUAGCUAGUAGGUGAGGUAAUGGCUCACCUAGGCGACGAUACCUAGCCGGCCUGAGAGGGGGAUCGGCCAAACUGGGAAUGAGACCAGGCCCCGAAUCCUACGGGAGGCAGCAGUAGGGAAUCUUCGGCAAUGGGGGCAACCCUGACCGAGCAACGCCGCGUGAGUGAAGAAGGUUUUCGGAUCGUAAAGCUCUGUUGUAAGUCAAGAACGGGUGUGAGAGUGGAAAGUUCACACUGUGACGGUAGCUUACCAGAAAGGGACGGCUAACUACGUG
This 497-nucleotide ribosomal RNA is filed under the name uncultured bacterium. RNAcentral describes it as "partial 16S ribosomal RNA". It matches the Rfam family "Bacterial small subunit ribosomal RNA", at positions 28 to 507 of the family's 1533-position model. The record is from RNAcentral.